GGGCCCGUGGUCUAGCUCGGAUUAAGACGCUGGCCUGCGAAGCCGGAGAUCCGGGGUUCAAAUCCCCGCGGGCCCG
RNAcentral lists this transfer RNA (76 nucleotides) under Candidatus Bathyarchaeota archaeon. RNAcentral describes it as "tRNA-Arg". It matches the Rfam family "tRNA". Rfam says of the family: Transfer RNA (tRNA) molecules are approximately 80 nucleotides in length. Their secondary structure includes four short double-helical elements and three loops (D, anti-codon, and T loops). Further hydrogen bonds mediate the characteristic L-shaped molecular structure. tRNAs have two regions of fundamental functional importance: the anti-codon, which is responsible for specific mRNA codon recognition, and the 3' end, to which the tRNAs corresponding amino acid is attached (by aminoacyl-tRNA synthetases). tRNAs cope with the degeneracy of the genetic code in two manners: having more than one tRNA (with a specific anti-codon) for a particular amino acid; and 'wobble' base-pairing, i.e. permitting non-standard base-pairing at the 3rd anti-codon position. Lineage: Archaea; Thermoproteati; Candidatus Bathyarchaeota. RNAcentral also lists the same sequence under 1 other name. The record is from RNAcentral.